This 228-nucleotide ribosomal RNA is filed under the name uncultured bacterium. Its description in RNAcentral is "partial 16S ribosomal RNA". It matches the Rfam family "Bacterial small subunit ribosomal RNA", at positions 118 to 346 of the family's 1533-position model. The record is from RNAcentral.
UGGGCAACCUGCCCCAGACUCUGGGAUAACUCCGGGAAACCGGGGCUAAUACCGGAUACUCUCGGUCGGCCGCAUGAUCGGCCGAGGAAAGCUCCGACGGUCUGGGAUGGGCCCGCGGCCUAUCAGCUUGUUGGUGAGGUAACGGCUCACCAAGGCGACGACGGGUAGCUGGUCUGAGAGGACGGCCAGCCACACUGGGACUGGGAUACGGCCCAGACUCCUACGGGA